GAACCAUUAACUACAAACAACUUGACAUUUUUCAACAUAUUUUUAUCCACAGUCACUAAAAACUGUUGAUAAAAGUUUUAAUUUUCUACAUUUGCAUGCAACAGUGAUUUAAAAACAAGAAAAUUUGCACAUAUAUUUUCACUGUUGGUUAACGGUUGAAUUAAAGUUUUAAAAAUACAGAAGUUUCAGAUUUUUCUUCAUCAACGGCUUGAUCAAUGUGGAUAAAAUAAAUAAAACAUUUUUUUAUCAACGGUUUUGUAAAUAUUGAAAAUGAAGAACCAUAAGAUUAUAUAAAAGCUACAAAUCUCACAACUCACAAGCCAAAAGCGUUAUAUCUCGCUCUCGCUAUUGCUCCUCUCUCUCAGCAAACUCAGCUCUUCACAGGAUCUCUCUCUCUGUUGCUGAGAAAACCUUUCUAUUUCUCUAUUAUUUUCUUGGCAACCAAACAGAGUGCUUGACUUCUGUUGAUUUUGCUUUGUUUCAAAUUCACCAAGCAGGAUGGCACAUUGUCUUAGAGCAUCCGACAAAGAUGAUGUUUUUGAUGCCAAUAGAACCUUGAGAAGGUGUGAAGUUGGUGUUGAUCGUGAUGAAGGCAUGUAGCAAAUUAUGCAACACCCCUUGAGAAGGUGUGUUUUCUAUCUUUUAUUUUUUUUAGUAUUUCUUGUCAUUUUGUUCUCAAUGUAGGCUUUUUUCCUUUGAGAUUGGUGUUUUUUGAGCUUCCUUCUCCAGAUACUAGUGGGACUAUGGUUACGGUUGAGGAUCUAAAAUAAGAACUCUCCAAUACAUUUUAGUGUACAAGUAUUGGCUAUUGUAGAUACUUUUAAGUGUACUAUUCAAAAAAGGUUUUGUGUAGCAUGUAGCAAUUCCUGUUUCAAAUUAAAAAAAAAAAAUAUGUGUAGGGCAUUAAACAGAGUAGUUGAGUUAUGUUGAUUUGUACAGUUUUUUU
Molecule: long non-coding RNA, 946 nt
Organism: Quercus robur (English oak)
Lineage: Eukaryota; Viridiplantae; Streptophyta; Magnoliopsida; Fagales; Fagaceae
Exons: 2
Source: RefSeq, a predicted model, not a curated record